This 369-nucleotide ribosomal RNA is filed under the name uncultured bacterium. Its description in RNAcentral is "bacterial SSU rRNA". It matches the Rfam family "Bacterial small subunit ribosomal RNA", at positions 527 to 896 of the family's 1533-position model. The record is from RNAcentral.
GUAGGGUGCGAGCGUUAAUCGGAAUUACUGGGCGUAAAGCGUGCGUAGGCGGUUCGUUAAGUUCGCUGUGAAAGCCCCGGGCUCAACCUGGGAAUGGCAAUGGAAACUGGCGGGCUUGAGUAUGGCAGAGGGGGGUGGAAUUCCGCGUGUAGCAGUGAAAUGCGUAGAGAUGCGGAGGAACACCGAUGGCGAAGGCAGCCCCCUGGGCCAAUACUGACGCUCAGGCACGAAAGCGUGGGGAGCAAACAGGAUUAGAUACCCUGGUAGUCCACGCCCUAAACGAUGCUCACUAGGUGUUGGGGAAGCGAUUCCUUGGUACCGUAGCUAACGCGUGAAGUGAGCCGCCUGGGGAGUACGGCCGCAAGGUUA